Molecule: unclassified non-coding RNA, 1049 nt
Filed under: Amphinema byssoides
Lineage: Eukaryota; Fungi; Basidiomycota; Agaricomycetes; Atheliales; Atheliaceae
Description: sequence contains 18S rRNA gene, ITS1, 5.8S rRNA gene, ITS2, 28S rRNA gene
Source: RNAcentral
AAGUAAAAGUCGUAACAAGGUUUCCGUAGGUGAACCUGCGGAAGGAUCAUUACCGAAUUCUUGGUCMAUUAGAGGAAGUAAAAGUCGUAACAAGGUUUCCGUAGGUGAACCUGCGGAAGGAUCAUUAUCGAAUUAUAAGCGAGGGUUGUCGCUGGCCUCGAAAGAGGCAUGUGCACGCCCGAGCUCUUAAAUCCACAACACACCUGUGAACCCACCGUAGGCCUUCGGGCUUAUGUAUCAUAUACUCUGAAUGUGUCAUAGAAUGUUCAUGUUGCCUUAAAACGCAAUCAAAUACAACUUUCAACAACGGAUCUCUUGGCUCUCGCAUCGAUGAAGAACGCAGCGAAAUGCGAUAAGUAAUGUGAAUUGCAGAUUUUCAGUGAAUCAUCGAAUCUUUGAACGCACCUUGCGCUCCUUGGUAUUCCGAGGAGCAUGCCUGUUUGAGUGUCAUUAAAUUCUCAACCCCACCGAUUUGCUUCGGGGGGAUUGGACUUGGAGCGUGCUGGCGAAGGUCGGCUCCUCUUUAAAUGCAUCAGUGGAGAGAAACUUGCCCCAGUGUGAUAAUCCUGUUGCGCUGUGGUGGGUGAAAGUCUGCUUCCAACCGUCCCUCCGGGGACAUACGUCAUCUUAUUUUGACCUCAAAUCAGGUAGGACUACCCGCUGAACUUAAGCAUAUCAAUAAGCGGAGGAAAAGAAACUAACAAGGAUUCCCCUAGUAACUGCGAGUGAAGCGGGAAAAGCUCAAAUUUAAAAUCUGGCGGUCGCUAUGGCCGUCCGAGUUGUAAUCUGGAGAAGUGUUUUCCGCGUCGGACCGUGUACAAGUCUUCUGGAACGGAGCGUCAUAGAGGGUGAGAAUCCCGUCUCUGACACGGACUGCCGAUGCUUUAUGUGAUACGCUCUCGAAGAGUCGAGUUGUUUGGGAAUGCAGCUCAAAAUGGGUGGUAAAUUCCAUCUAAAGCUAAAUAUUGGCGAGAGACCGAUAGCGAACAAGUACCGUGAGGGAAAGAUGAAAAGCACUUUGGAAAGAGAGUUAAACAGUACGUGAAAUU